GACGAACGCUGGCGGCGUGCUUAACACAUGCAAGUCGAGCGGGAAACUUCGGUUUCCAGCGGCGGACGGGUGAGUAACACGUGGGCAACCUGCCUCACAAUGAGGGAUAGCCUUUCGAAAGGAAGAUUAAUACCUCAUAACACAAGAGAAACGCAUGUUUCUCUUGCCAAAGAAUUUCGUUGUGAGAUGGGCCCCGCGGCGCAUUAGCUUGUUGGUGAGGUAACGGCUCACAAAGGCUUCGAUGCGUAGCCGACCUGAGAGGGUGAUCGGCCACAUUGGAACUGAGACACGGUCCAGACUCCUACGGGUGGCUG
Molecule: ribosomal RNA, 314 nt
Filed under: uncultured Bacillota bacterium
Lineage: Bacteria; Bacillati; Bacillota
Description: bacterial SSU rRNA
Rfam family: Bacterial small subunit ribosomal RNA
Source: RNAcentral